UAAUAGGUCUGGCCUGCCCAGUGAUAAAAUUUAACGGCCGCGGUAUAUUGACCGUGCAAAGGUAGCAUAAUCAUUAGUCUUUUAAUAGAAGGCUGGAAUGAAAGGUUUAACGAGAAAUUAACUGUCUCAAUUACAAACUUGAAUUUAUCUUUUGAGUCAAAAGACUUAAAUAUAAUUGGGGGACGAGAAGACCCUAUAGAGCUUAACAAUUUUUUUUCUAUAUUUAUUUAGUUAAAUUAUUUAUAUAUAUUGGAAAAAUUGUUUUGUUGGGGUGACAAUAAAUAUAUAUUUAACUUUUAUCAUAACAUAAACAUUAAUUUAUGAUUUUUGGAUCCAAAAAUUUUGAUCAAUAGAUUAAGUUACCUUAGGGAUAACAGCGUUAUCUUCCCUCAGAGUUCAUAUUUACGGGAAGGCUUGCGACCUCG
Molecule: ribosomal RNA, 425 nt
Filed under: Ischnura gemina
Lineage: Eukaryota; Metazoa; Arthropoda; Insecta; Odonata; Coenagrionidae
Description: partial 16S ribosomal RNA
Rfam family: Bacterial large subunit ribosomal RNA
Source: RNAcentral